Molecule: ribosomal RNA, 506 nt
Filed under: Baseodiscus kakuii
Lineage: Eukaryota; Metazoa; Nemertea; Pilidiophora; Heteronemertea; Baseodiscidae
Description: partial 16S rRNA
Rfam family: Bacterial large subunit ribosomal RNA
Source: RNAcentral
UAGCCUGCUGUUACGUUAUAGUAGGUGUUUUCUGCCCGGUGAGAUUUUAACGGCCGCGGUACUCUGACCGUGCAAAGGUAGCAUAAUCAUUUGCUUCUUAAUUGGGGGCUUGUAUGAAAGAAAGUAUGAAUGUCUAGCUGUCUCCUCUCGAAAAAAAAAUUUUCUUUUGUUGUGAAGAAGCAACAAUGCCAAAAAAAGACAAGAAGACCCUAUCGAGCUUUACUCUAGAAAUUAAAAGGCUGUGAGAUAUUAAUUAAAUCACAAAAAAUUUUGUGAGUUUCGUUGGGGCGACGAAAAAAGAUAAAAAUCUUUUUUUUUAAAAAAACUUUUCUGUUAAAAAAAGAGCGGCUUUUUAGCCAUUAUAGGAAAAAGUUACCGUAGGGAUAACAGCGUAAUUUUUUUAGAGAGCUCAAAUCGAAAAAAAAGAUUGCGACCUCGAUGUUGACUUGUCGUUCCCUCUUGGUGUAGUGGUUAUAAGGGUUGGUCUGUUCGACCAUUAAAACGAC